Molecule: long non-coding RNA, 1297 nt
Organism: Ostrea edulis (European flat oyster)
Lineage: Eukaryota; Metazoa; Mollusca; Bivalvia; Ostreida; Ostreidae
Exons: 3
Source: RefSeq, a predicted model, not a curated record
GGUAGAGACCGAUAGCAACCACGUGAUCAGUAAAAAUCGUGUAUUUUCACGUGAAAUUAUUUUUCGGAAUUCCGUACAUCGCCAUAGAGUAGUUGAAAAACAAAAAGGGGUUCCGAAAGUACAAGUUGUUGCUGUGACUGAAUCGAUGAUUGAGAGGGUCGUCUCGACGAAAGAUAUAGAAAUUUGGCCAUAGUUUAGAUAAGGAAUACGUCAAUGUAAUAAUAGUGGACUAAAUGUUUCGUCCGUGCAGAAUGGCACUUUUUACCUCACGAAAUUCACCACCAUGCAUAGCUGCGCUACGUAAACAAAGUUGUUGAUGUAGCGUGAUCGUGAUGUCCGAGUGCUGCGAGUUUCAAUACUGUUUAUGUAGUAAUUAAGAGUUUAAACAAAGUUUGUUCUGAGAAGAGGAAUUCGAUGGAUGCAUUCAACGUGGACAACGAAAUCAUAAUUUCGUUUGCAUCAUCCUAAGGACCAGUGCAAGUUGAAAUGGGCUUCCAGCUAACAACUUCAACAGCAAUUUGCCAUGAAAAUCAGCAAGAAAGGUACUUCAUUUACAUUGAUGAUGUCAUAUCCCCUGGACCCCACAACUUUACAGGUUACAGAGAAAAUUCAAGAACUUCUGCAAAAUGUGGGACUUGGAUAGAAUCAAUAAUGUAUUUGUGAGCCCAGAGCAAUGGAUAUAUUGUGGAACAUACUAAAGUGAAUUUAAUGGAAAACAAGUACAUGUACUCAUGUAUUACAUGUCUUUUUUAAAGACAAUAACAUUGUAUAAAUAUAGAGGAAGUGUCAUUGUUGAUUAUUCUAAGUUUUUGAUAUAUCAAAAUCAGUAAACAUUUCUAAAUGAAAAUAAAAUACCAAUUUUAUAACUUUAAUCAAUGUGUUUGAAUUUCUCAUUUUCUAACCCCACCCCACCCCCGUUACACACACUCGGUGCAUAUAUACUGUGAAUGCAAUAUGCAUGCAUUCUAAGUUAUCCAAGCAACCGGCGCGAGCCCCCUUAAAAUUUUUAAGUUUAAAGUAAAUCGUGGUCUCUUGUUUAGAGAAAUAUAUACGAUAAAAGAAGCCAUAAUUUCCUCCACUCUCAGAGAAAUAAAUGUCUGACAAAAUCUUUUGAUUUAUUGAAUUACUUUUAGUGGGAGAACUGCUACUUUUUCCAAAAACCCUUAAAAUUUGCGUUAUUUUAUUAAUUUCACCUAAUUAGAAAUGACAGAAAAUAAUAAAAAUGACUACAUAGGAGACAUAUUUUAAGCCCUAAAAAAUCUGUAAAAUCCAGGAGUUUCUGGGGGAAUCGCCCCCC